RNAcentral lists this ribosomal RNA (253 nucleotides) under uncultured bacterium. Its description in RNAcentral is "partial 16S ribosomal RNA". It matches the Rfam family "Bacterial small subunit ribosomal RNA", at positions 524 to 776 of the family's 1533-position model. The record is from RNAcentral.
UACAGAGGGUGCAAGCGUUGUUCGGAAUUAUUGGGCGUAAAGCGCGUGUAGGCGGCUUUGCAAGUCGGGUGUGAAAGCCCUCAGCUUAACUGAGGAAGUGCGCCCGAAACUGCAUGGCUUGAGUACCGGAGAGGGUGGCGGAAUUCCCCAAGUAGAGGUGAAAUUCGUAGAUAUGGGGAGGAACACCAGUGGCGAAGGCGGCCACCUGGACGGAUACUGACGCUGAGACGCGAAAGCGUGGGUAGCAAACAGG